CAUUACUAAUCCUCUUCUGUAUCUUCAAGCUCUCUACGUACCGUAUGAGAACCUAUAUAACCAGCGCCGCCAGUAACCAACACAGUCCCUUCAUGAACACCAGUCUAUGAAUCAUAAUUAGUAUUUUCAUACAAAAGAAUGCUUUUGAUUAAUUAAAAAAGUUAUUCAUACCAUUUUACACGUUAUAAUUUGAUAUUAAAGGGGUGGGCUCAAGACUGUAGCUAUUAUGCUCUUUCUUUGUUGGAUAUUCAGUUUCCUACAUGCUCAAGGUAUCAAUGCAGGUCGUUACCUCCUGUAACCUGACAUGAUGUAAAACGAGCAAAAGCCACAAUGAAGCUUAAGCUAAAAGUGAAAAGUGCUUGUAUAUCUCGCUAAACCAUUUUAUUGAUAUAUCGCUAAAAAAUUCCUAAUCAUAAUAUUAUAUAGUAACAAAGAGGUCGUCGGAAUAAGUGUAUAGCAGAUGAAUGCCUGUGAUUAGGUGUAUGGAUUUUUCAUGUUCAUAAAG
Non-coding RNA from Schizosaccharomyces pombe (fission yeast), 505 nucleotides. The record is from the annotation of a GenBank genome assembly. NCBI's taxonomy places the organism in Eukaryota, Fungi, Ascomycota, Schizosaccharomycetes, Schizosaccharomycetales, Schizosaccharomycetaceae.